RNAcentral lists this non-coding RNA (45 nucleotides) under Schistosoma curassoni. Lineage: Eukaryota; Metazoa; Platyhelminthes; Trematoda; Strigeidida; Schistosomatidae. The record is from RNAcentral.
ACCCAGCUGACGAAUCCCAAACAGGACGAAACACGUCUUCUGGAU